RNAcentral lists this unclassified non-coding RNA (306 nucleotides) under uncultured fungus. RNAcentral describes it as "partial contains 5.8S rRNA and ITS2". Lineage: Eukaryota; Fungi. The record is from RNAcentral.
AACGCAUAUUGCGCUCGAGGCCUCGGCCAAGAGCAUGUCUGGCUCAGCGUCGAUGUACCCCUCAACCCCCCAAUUAUAUUUAUAUAAUCGGGUGAUUGGAUCUGGUAGUCCCGGCUCUCUCCUCGGAGAAAGCCGGGUCUACUGAAGCACAGAGGCUGAUUAAGGACCGUUUAUGGGCCGCAUCUAGGUAGGCAGCAUCACUGCUACAUAUUUAGGUGUUGGCUUGGCUCUUUAUCAAUAGCCCUCAAACCAGGAAACUUUUACAUUUUCGACCUGAGCUCAGGCAAGAACACCCGCUGAACUUAA